UACGUAGGGUGCGAGCGUUAAUCGGAAUCAUUGGGCUUAAAGCGUGUGUAGGCGGCCCGGUAAGUACCUUGUGAAAUCCCACGUCUCAACCGUGGAACUGCUUGGUGUACUGCCGGGCUCGAGGUUGGUAGAGGUGCCUGGAACUCUAGGUGGAGCGGUGAAAUGCGUAGAUAUCUAGAGGAACGCCCGUGGCGAAAGCGGGGCACUGGGCCAAUCCUGACGCUGAGACACGAAAGCGUGGGGAGCAAACGGG
Molecule: ribosomal RNA, 253 nt
Filed under: uncultured prokaryote
Description: partial 16S ribosomal RNA
Rfam family: Bacterial small subunit ribosomal RNA
Source: RNAcentral